AUACGGAGGGUGCAAGCGUUAAUCGGAAUUACUGGGCGUAAAGCGCACGCAGGCGGUUUGUUAAGUCAGAUGUGAAAUCCCCGGGCUCAACCUGGGAACUGCAUCUGAUACUGGCAAGCUUGAGUCUCGUAGAGGGGGGUAGAAUUCCAGGUGUAGCGGUGAAAUGCGUAGAGAUCUGGAGGAAUACCGGUGGCGAAGGCGGCCCCCGGGGCGAAGAAUGACGCUCAGGUGCGAAAGCGGGGGGAGAAAACAGGAUUAGAUACCCGGGUAGUCCACGCCGUAAACGAUGUCGACUUGGAGGUUGUGCCCUUGAGGCGUGGCUUCCGGAGCUAACGCGUUAAGUCGACCGCCUGGGGAGUACGGCCGCAAGGUUAAAACUCAAAUGAAUUGACGGGG
RNAcentral lists this ribosomal RNA (396 nucleotides) under uncultured bacterium. RNAcentral's name for it is "partial 16S ribosomal RNA". It matches the Rfam family "Bacterial small subunit ribosomal RNA", at positions 523 to 918 of the family's 1533-position model. The record is from RNAcentral.